RNAcentral lists this ribosomal RNA (451 nucleotides) under uncultured bacterium. RNAcentral describes it as "bacterial SSU rRNA". It matches the Rfam family "Bacterial small subunit ribosomal RNA", at positions 343 to 791 of the family's 1533-position model. The record is from RNAcentral.
UGGAGGCAGCAGUGAGGAAUAUUGGACAAUGGGCGCAAGCCUGAUCCAGCCAUGCCGCGUGCAGGAAGACGCAUCUAUGGUGUGUAAACUGCUUUUGUACGGGAAGAAACACUCCUUCGUGAAGGAGCUUGACGGUACCGUAAGAAUAAGGAUCGGCUAACUCCGUGCCAGCAGCCGCGGUAAUACGGAGGAUCCAAGCGUUAUCCGGAAUCAUUGGGUUUAAAGGGUCCGUAGGCGGUUUAAUAAGUCAGUGGUGAAAUCUGGUCGCUCAACGAUCAAACGGCCAUUGAUACUGUUAGACUUGAAUUACUAGGAAGUAACUAGAAUAUGUAGUGUAGCGGUGAAAUGCUUAGAUAUUACAUGGAAUACCAAUUGCGAAGGCAGGUUACUACUAGUGGAUUGACGCUGAUGGACGAAAGCGUGGGGAGCGAACAGGAUUAGAUACCCUGGU